GCCCGGGUGGCGAAACUGGUAGACGCAAGGGACUUAAAAUCCCUCGGUGGCAACACCGUGCCGGUUCGAUUCCGGCCCCGGGCA
Molecule: transfer RNA, 84 nt
Filed under: Thiogranum longum
Lineage: Bacteria; Pseudomonadati; Pseudomonadota; Gammaproteobacteria; Chromatiales; Ectothiorhodospiraceae
Also listed under: 1 other name
Rfam family: tRNA
About the family: Transfer RNA (tRNA) molecules are approximately 80 nucleotides in length. Their secondary structure includes four short double-helical elements and three loops (D, anti-codon, and T loops).
Source: Rfam by way of RNAcentral